Long non-coding RNA from Polypterus senegalus (gray bichir), 917 nucleotides. RefSeq lists it as uncharacterized. Lineage: Eukaryota; Metazoa; Chordata; Cladistia; Polypteriformes; Polypteridae. The record is from RefSeq and is a predicted model, not a curated record. The transcript is spliced from 18 exons.
UAUUCGUCCAUUUGCACGCCAGCAUUACUGUGGCAAAAUGCUUUUGCGACUGAAGUCUCCAUUUGAAGUCGAAAAGGUUGAUUCAACUUACGUUGAUGGUCAUUUGACAGAAAAGCAAUGGAGAAACCGUCACCUCUUGACUACAAACGGUACCUCCUCAUUGUGACAGAUGGAUCCAUGAAGAUUCUGGAGAUAUAGCCAUAUUGAGAUGGAUGUCUAUUGGUUAUUUGCUCAAGGGAUCACUUCAUGAAUUCAGAUUUGCCCUUUGCAAUUGGGCAAGUUACUGCAUUUUUGUGCAUUCUUUUAAGUUCUUGAAUAGUGCUCAACCUUGAAGAUGAGCAUACCAUCUAAAAGGCUUCAUAAUGGAAAAGCAUCCAGAUCAGCUGAGCUAAACAGUAUUGUACUCAACAUUUUCCUAUUAUGAGCCAAAUGGAGUAAUGAAUUACUAGAAGGUGGACAAAUGCUUGAAAUGAUUACUUCAGUCGUCUAGAAAACACCAGGGUCAGAUACUGGAAUAUUGAUCCGCUUUAUAGCAUUUCAAGGUUGUAGAUUUGGGAGUGGACGCAGUAUGGGUUAUAGAUUUAUUUUGGAGUUGACGCAGUAUGGAGUAAUGAAUUACUAAGAAGGUGGACAAAUACUUGAAAUGAUCACUUCAGCCUUCUAAAAAACACCAGGGUUGGAUACUGGAAUGUUGAUUCGCUUUAUAGCAUUUCAAGGGUUGCAGAUUUUUGGGAGUUGACACAAUAUGAGUUGUAGAUUUAUUUUGGAGUUGACGCAGUAUGAUCUGUUUGGGAUUUUGCAACACUUUGACCAAGUUAAUAUCUGGAAUCUAGAAUAAAUCUGUAUUUAAUCAUCCUCUGUUUGUGCAUUAUGCAAUUUUCUGUAGUAGUACAAUUCAUUAAAGAAUCUAAAUUGUG